RNAcentral lists this ribosomal RNA (484 nucleotides) under uncultured bacterium. RNAcentral's name for it is "partial 16S ribosomal RNA". It matches the Rfam family "Bacterial small subunit ribosomal RNA", at positions 30 to 507 of the family's 1533-position model. The record is from RNAcentral.
AUUGAACGCUGGCGGCAGGCCUAACACAUGCAAGUCGAGCGGAUGAAGGGAGCUUGCUCCUGGAUUCAGCGGCGGACGGGUGAGUAAUGCCUAGGAAUCUGCCUGGUAGUGGGGGAUAACUUCCGGAAACGGGCGCUAAUACCGCAUACGUCCUGAGGGAGAAAGUGGGGGAUCUUCGGACCUCACGCUAUCAGAUGAGCCUAGGUCGGAUUAGCUAGUUGGUGGGGUAAAGGCCUACCAAGGCGACGAUCCGUAACUGGCCUGAGAGGAUGAUCAGUCACCCUGGAAAUGCGACACGGUCCAGACUCCUACGGGAGGCAGCAGUGGGGAAUAUUGGACAAUGGGCGAAAGCCUGAUCCAGCCAUGCCGCGUGUGUGAAGAAGGUCUUCGGAUUGUAAAGCACUUUAAGUUGGGAGGAAGGGCAGUAAGUUAAUACCUUGCUGUUUUGACGUUACCAACAGAAUAAGCACCGGCUAACUUCGUG